GCAGUAAUGAUUUUCUAGAUUAAUGUGUAGGGGAAGGAUUAAUGUUUUAAAAAUAUGAAGUCUUUCCAGAACACAGAGCGUGUUUCCCAUUUUUCUCAGAAUUUUUACAUCUUCCAGUAAAAUUUUUUUUCAUUUACAUGUAUAUUUUUUAAAGUUUCUUCUUACAUUUAAAAAAACUACUUAUGAAUUUGUUUUAAUUCCUAUUUUCCUAAAAUAUAUUCUUCAGUAAUCUGUUAAUUUUUGUUUUUUUAUCUCAUCUGUAGCUAUACUGCUGAAUUUAGCUAGUCAGAGUACUUUGUUAUUUAGGUGUCUGGGAUUUUCUAGUUAGUUGGUCAUAUCUGCAAAUGCGUUUUUAUAAUUUUAAGGAUGGCUUUUUUCUUUUUAUUUCAGUAGCUAAUAAUUGUAGGUAUCCUGUUUCUUUACUGACUGUAAUGGGAAAUAGCAUCGUGGCUGCUGGGGUUUCUAGUAGAUGACCCUUAUCAAAUUAAGGACAUUUCUUUUUCUUCUUGAUUUGCUAAAAGAUCUCUUCCCCCAUCCACCCACCUCCACUGCCAAUCUCCCCCCCUCCCCCAAGGGAUAGGUGUGGAAUUUAUUCAGUGAGUUUUUGAGGAGUUAAAAAACAAUCAGUUUUUUACUUACCUGUUAAUUUAUUUUUUUAAAGAUGUAAUUUAUUCAUGAGAGAGACGGGGGGAGAGAGAGAGACAGGCAGAGGGAGAAACAGGCUCCAUUCCAUGCAGGGAGCCUGACGUGGGAUUCGAUCCUAGGUCUCCAGGACCACACCCUGGGCUGAAGGCAGCGCUAAACUGCUGAGCCACCUGGGCUGCCCGUCUGUUUAUUUUAUUUUUUAAAGGUUUUAUUUAUUAAUGAGAGACACGGGGGAGGGGGGGGCGGGCAGAGACACAGGGAGAGGGAGAAGCAGGCUCCAUGCAGGGAGCCUGACGUGGGACUUGAUCCCAGGUCUCCAGGAUCAGGCCCUGGGCUGAAGGCAGGCGCCAAACCGCUGAGCCACCCGGGCUGCCCCCAUCUGUUAAUUUUAAUGGAGUGAAUGAUGCUAAUAUUUUCCGUGAACUACCCUUCAAUAAUUUGUAUAAAACGGGUUAAUGUUCUUUUAAGAGUGAUUGAUUCGUUUAGGUUUGUUUAUUUAUUUAUUUAUUUAUUUAUUUAUUUAUAAGAUUUUUAUUUAUUUUUUCAUGACAGACACAGAGACCGGCAGAAACAGGCAGAGGGAGAAGCAGGCUCCACACAGGGAGCCUGACGUGGGACUCGAUCCUGGGUCUCCAGGAUCAGGCCCUGGGCUCAAAGUGGCGCUAAACCGCUGAGCCACUCGGGCUGCCCCUAGGAUUUAUUAUAUAUGUUCAUAAAUGAAAUUGACUUCAUUUUCUUCUGUUUAUGUCUAGUUUUAGAAACCAUUAGGAUAACCUUAUAAAGUCAGUUGAAUUAGCCUUUCAGGUUUUUCUGUCUUGUCGAACAGUGUAUAUAAUAGUAUCCUCUGUUUAUUGACAGUCUGGUAAGUGUUCCUAUAAAACUGUGGGUAUUUUCAAGUGUUUUUCCUGCCCUCACAGUUUCUUCUUUAGUUAUUAUCUAUUCAUGUUCUCUACUUUUUAUUAAAUUCAUAUUUUUGGAGAAAACCAGCCAGUUUUCCUAGAUUUAAAAAAAAUUACUUUUCUGUCCAGCUAUGCUCUGUUUAGUGUGUAUAUAAUGUAUAAUAUUUAUAUACACAUUCUAAAUACUGGAUAUCAUACAUAAAAUCUUCUGAGAUGCAACCACUUUUUUAUUCUUAAUACUUUAUUUGGCAUGAAGUGGGGAGUUAUCCUUGAUUUAGAUUGCCCAAGAUCUUUUUUUUUUUUAAACUAGACUUUAGUUAAAAAACAUUGAGCAAUGUUUUCACUAUUUCAUUACUUACUGUUCUUAAAUUUAGUGUGUAAAAUUCUACCUAAUUUGGAUUUAUUUUGUACCUAAGAGCUUUUUGAGUUGAAUCUACCUCAAUACUAAGUACAUUCCUGGUUCUAUAAUAAUAAUAAUAGGGUUGACCUUAGAAAAAUACUAUUUUAGUAGAGAUGGAACAAGAACUUUUUUUCCCAAGAUUUUUAUUUAACUUAUUUGAGAGUGAGAGCAUGAGCAAGCAACAGAAGGAAAGUCUCUAAGCUUUAGCCUGAUAUUAGCUCAUUUGAUGACAGAUAAGUCCUAUCACUUCCACUUCAGCCAAAAUGGCUCUGCUUUGACCUGGUUUGGUUCUCCUGAGAUGUGAUUUGAAAGUAGGGCUCCUUGGCUAAAACCACUUGAGAUGCCUGUUGAAUUUUAAAUAUUAAAUAAUCUGGUGGGUUUUUUUAAUCCUUUUAUCUCUUUAAACAUUCUCAACCUAUUUCAUUUUAUCCUAUACUUUUUAGGCUUUUCUGGAAUUCUUGUUCUGAUUUUGUUGGCUAUCUUUCUUAGCAUUGAAUUUCCUUGUGUGUUUUGGAGUUUUGGUAUGCAGGCUCAUGGGUUUUUUUUGUUUGUUUCCCUUUUCCAUCCUCUCUGGUGUUUGCCUCCCUUAGGAACUCCAGGAUCUCAGUCUAAAUCCAGGUAUCUGAUCACACCUGGUUAUUAAUAACCGUAAAGAGAGUGGGAGCAUUGUACCCCAUCCCAGAGUCACCUGGUAGCAUCAUUUUGAUUUCCAGUCCAAGGAGGUUUUGCUCUUUUAUUUUUAUUUUCUCUUAUGAUUUCCCCAUUCUACCUGUGUAUUUGGAGCAAAGAUUUGUUUAGUGUUUUGUUUUGGUACAGACUUACCAAAUCAUCCUGUAGUAUUAAAAAUUCCCACCAUCCCAGGGGAUUGUGGUAUAGGUUCCUCAUCCUCAGAGGUCACCAGAGUUAAUACGUGUGGUGUGUGUGGUGGUUUAUGGUUGUCUAGCUGCCCAGUGACCGCCUACUUUUGGGAGCAGUAUUUUGGUGGGGGCAGGGGAUGUUCUCUCUUCCCUGUUGGGUACAGUCUUUUGAGACCUGUAAAAUAAAGCAGCAUCCUAUCCCCUAGCCAAGGGCUAGGUGUAUGAAUAAAACCAGACCAGCUGAGCCCUGGACUGUUUCCUGGAUCACUUAGACUGUUUCCCUUCUAGAACAAUUUUAGUUCCUGCAAUGAAACCCAUAGGAUCUUCCUGCCUACUCCUUUGGACCUAUGCUAAGGUCUUUCCCUUCAAUUCUGUGAGAUCAUCUACAUCCCUCUAGUAAUUCCUCUUUUCUAAUAUUAGAGGCAAAUUUUGUUGCCUAACACCCAGGAAAACAUGACUGAUGGACCAUACACUCUUAGAGAUGUGUAUGCACCUACAGCCAUGUAAAUGCUCAAAUAUGAUUUUUACGUAACUAUGCUUUACAGUAGCUUGUAUUUCAGACACUUUGUGUACUUGGGAUUAAACAAAAAGAAUUAAUUCAAGUAGGCUCUAAUCUGACUUAGUAUGGGGAUAAAUGAAAGACAGAUAGGCCAUAUCUCAGUUAACCAGGCAAGUGUCUUGGUGAAUCAGGACCCCAGCUUGUGCUGCUGCUGCCCUGUGAACAGUGUGGCACUCCUAAAGUGGCUUCUGUCUGUUCUCUUGGAUGCUCUAUUUCCCCUGUCAUCUCCCAGCCUUGUCUCUGGCCAUCCUGAACCAAGCCCUCAUCUCGUUACACCGCUCUACUCACUGUCUCAGGAUGCACACUCUCUUCUUGGUGUCUGCUUUUCCUGUUGUUUAUUUCCCUUUUCCUUCCUGUAAGACCAGCUCAAUGACCUGAAGCCUUUCUGAAUAGCCUACAGGGCAGUGCCUGUCCUCCCACCCCCUAAAUUCCCAGAGUAGCUGACAUUUGUUCGUUGCUUGCCAAGUUACUUGUGUGUUUGAGUCAGGAUAUAAAGAACACUGACAUUGCUUUGACAGCAUGUCAGAGAGACUUAUUGCCAUGCUUGAUACUCAUAUACUUGCCUUCUGUCUUCUGCGUGCCCAUCAUGGCAUUAUAUUCACACUGUUUCAUCCAUUAAGUGAGCAGAUCCCAUACUCAUGCAGGAUACUUAUUUCAUUACCCAACACCAAAGGUAAGGAGGAAGCCAGCUGCCCAAAAAAUAAACUUUUGCCUCAGAAACAUUCUGAAGCUAAUUUUUUCCAUGGCUGGUUCUAGUUGUUUAAGGAGCUGUCAGAAACUGUGAGUUGUGAAUUGGAGAGACCAAGAUCUUGCAUGUCCUCAAGGACGGGGGCCUGGACCUCUGGUUACAGAUCUGGCCCUAUAGGUGCUCUAAGGUGGCAAAGUAUAUAUUUUGACUCUGAAGAGUAUUCAUCAUGUUCAUAAAGGGAGGUGAGGUUGCUCAUGUUUGUCUUGGCUGGCCAGCCAGCUUACAAGCGUUAUUUGCUCAUGGUGGCAAUCACAGAGGGCCUUUGCCCAAGAUACCAGUUUUUCUCCCCUCUGGCUUCAUUGCUUCCCUUGGGCAGAAAGAACCCAGAAGAUCUGUUCCUGGAAAGUAGGGGCCAGUAUGUAUCCUGUAAACUGUCAACUUAUUUGGGAGUUUAAAAAGCAUACUAAAAUAGGGAUCCAAAUACUAUUUGGCUUCAGUAGUUUGGAACCUAUACUCUCACAUAACAAA
RNAcentral lists this long non-coding RNA (4576 nucleotides) under Canis lupus familiaris (dog). RNAcentral describes it as "lncRNA (ENSCAFG00000051516.1)". The record is from RNAcentral. Lineage: Eukaryota; Metazoa; Chordata; Mammalia; Carnivora; Canidae.